GUGUCAUUCCUUUCACAGACUCCCAGCACUAAUUUCUGGCAUACAAGUUCAGGAAAGGUGGACCUGUGGUGGUAACUGCAUCUCAGUGUGCAAGGCACUGUUCCUUUUCCCAUUGGCUGUUCUCAGCCGGACAAGAAUGAAAUUGUACCAUAAAAUGAUGAAUGAAUUCCUGCUCAAGACAUUGCUUACCACCCCUGGAGAAGGAGAAGGUGGCUGGCAAUCCUACGGCAUGAAAACUGGACUGCCAUUUUAACAAAUAUGAACCACUCCCCUGUAUCAGAAGUGAUCUCUUGUCGCUUAUGGCUCGUGCAACCCGUCUGAAGGGAUGUUUGAAGGGUGAACAGACUGCUCUGGUCUCCCCACCUGGAUGCUACAAGCAAGAUGGAACUUACCUGCCCUGCUCUACUGGUGACACAUUGUUGCUCUGCAGCAGCUAAUGCCUGGAACGCAUAUCUAAUUUAGGAACCUUCUAUCUUUCUGGGCUUAUUCAAGGUGUACGAGGUCACAAAGCUCAGAAGUCAUCAGAGAAGUCAGAAAACCAUUAGCCUUUUGCUGUAAUUUAGUAGUAUUUCAUAUUGUCCUUCUAUUGUUUUGGAACUAAGAGCUUCGUCUUCAACUGAAAGCUCAUCUGGGUUAUUAAGACUAGUCCUUUAUCUAAUGGACCUACAGAAAAACAUCUUACUGCUAGCCAGACUGCCCACCCACGUCCUGAUUGCAAUGUGGAUUCUUGGGAGGAUCACUUGUGUGAAAUUCACUGUCCUGAUUAAUGAAUACCCUUUACAUAUAAAGAGCAGAAAUGAACUCAUAGCAGGAAACAGUACUUACAGUUUUCUAAGUAUGUUUUUAAAAAUACAUAAGAUUAAAACUGAAUUGAAAACUUCUAAUAUAAGACUAAUAUAAGGCUCCAAGAUUUAAUU
Non-coding RNA from Sturnus vulgaris (Common starling), 917 nucleotides. Lineage: Eukaryota; Metazoa; Chordata; Aves; Passeriformes; Sturnidae. The record is from RefSeq and is a predicted model, not a curated record.